Molecule: ribosomal RNA, 712 nt
Filed under: bacterium
Lineage: Bacteria
Description: bacterial SSU rRNA
Rfam family: Bacterial small subunit ribosomal RNA
Source: RNAcentral
GAAGCCCAGCUUGCUGGGUGGAUUAGUGGCGAACGGGUGAGUAACACGUGAGCAACCUGCCCCUGACUCUGGGAUAACAGCCGGAAACGGUUGCUAAUACCGGAUAUGCAUCAUGGCCGCAUGGUCUGUGGUGGGAAAGAUUUUUCGGUUGGGGAUGGGCUCGCGGCCUAUCAGCUUGUUGGUGAGGUAGUGGCUCACCAAGGCGUCGACGGGUAGCCGGCCUGAGAGGGUGACCGGCCACACUGGGACUGAGACACGGCCCAGACUCCUACGGGAGGCAGCAGUGGGGAAUAUUGCACAAUGGGCGGAAGCCUGAUGCAGCAACGCCGCGUGAGGGAUGACGGCCUUCGGGUUGUAAACCUCUUUUAGCAGGGAAGAAGCGGAAGUGACGGUACCUGCAGAAAAAGCGCCGGCUAACUACGUGCCAGCAGCCGCGGUAAUACGUAGGGCGCAAGCGUUAUCCGGAAUUAUUGGGCGUAAAGAGCUCGUAGGCGGUUUGUCGCGUCUGCUGUGAAAACCCGAGGCUCAACCUCGGGCCUGCAGUGGGUACGGGCAGACUAGAGUGCGGUAGGGGAGAUUGGAAUUCCUGGUGUAGCGGUGGAAUGCGCAGAUAUCAGGAGGAACACCGAUGGCGAAGGCAGAUCUCUGGGCCGUUACUGACGCUGAGGAGCGAAAGGGUGGGGAGCAAACAGGCUUAGAUACCCUGGUAGUC